UGUUAAUGAUUUAAGGUCUGACCUGCCCAAUGAUUUUUUUAAAUGGCCGCAGUAUAUUGACUGUGCAAAGGUAGCAUAAUCAUUAGUUUCUUAAUUAGAAGCUGGAAUGAAUGGUUUAAUGAAAAAUUUACUGUCUCAUUAUAAUUGUUUUAGAACUUUAUUUUUAAGUGAAAAAGCUUAAAUUUUUUAUAAAGACGAGAAGACCCUAUAGAGUUUAAUAUUUUAAUUUUUUGUAAAUUAAAAGUUAUUUAUUAUUUUGAAUUUUAUAAAAUAUUUUGUUGGGGUGAUAAAAAAAUUAAAUUAACUUUUUGUUAUUAUAUCACGGGUAAGUGAAUUGUUGAUCCUAUUUUUUAGAUUAAAAGAGAAAAUUACCUUAGGGAUAACAGCGUAAUUUUUUUGGAAAGUUCUUAUUGAUAAAAAAGUUUGCGACCUCGAUGUUGGAUUAAAAUUAAUUUUGGGUGUAGAAGCUUAAAAAUUAGGUCUGUUCGACCUUUAAAAUU
This 500-nucleotide ribosomal RNA is filed under the name Lepispilus ocularis. RNAcentral describes it as "partial 16S ribosomal RNA". It matches the Rfam family "Bacterial large subunit ribosomal RNA", at positions 1832 to 2595 of the family's 2925-position model. Lineage: Eukaryota; Metazoa; Arthropoda; Insecta; Coleoptera; Tenebrionidae. The record is from RNAcentral.